UUAAGCGACUAAGCGUACACGGUGGAUGCCCUGGCAGUCAGAGGCGAUGAAGGACGUGCUAAUCUGCGAUAAGCGUCGGUAAGGUGAUAUGAACCGUUAUAACCGGCGAUUUCCGAAUGGGGAAACCCAGUGUGAUUCGUCACACUAUCAUUAACUGAAUCCAUAGGUUAAUGAGGCGAACCGGGGGAACUGAAACAUCUAAGUACCCCGAGGAAAAGAAAUCAACCGAGAUUCCCCCAGUAGCGGCGAGCGAACGGGGAGCAGCCCAGAGCCUGAAUCAGUGUGUGUGUUAGUGGAAGCGUCUGGAAAGGCGUGCGAUACAGGGUGACAGCCCCGUACACAAAAAUGCACAUAUUGUGAGCUCGAUGAGUAGGGCGGGACACGUGGUAUCCUGUCUGAAUAUGGGGGGACCAUCCUCCAAGGCUAAAUACUCCUGACUGACCGAUAGUGAACCAGUACCGUGAGGGAAAGGCGAAAAGAACCCCGGCGAGGGGAGUGAAAAAGAACCUGAAACCGUGUACGUACAAGCAGUGGGAGCACGCUUAGGCGUGUGACUGCGUACCUUUUGUAUAAUGGGUCAGCGACUUAUAUUCUGUAGCAAGGUUAACCGAAUAGGGGAGCCGAAGGGAAACCGAGUCUUAACUGGGCGUUAAGUUGCAGGGUAUAGACCCGAAACCCGGUGAUCUAGCCAUGGGCAGGUUGAAGGUUGGGUAACACUAACUGGAGGACCGAACCGACUAAUGUUGAAAAAUUAGCGGAUGACUUGUGGCUGGGGGUGAAAGGCCAAUCAAACCGGGAGAUAGCUGGUUCUCCCCGAAAGCUAUUUAGGUAGCGCCUCGUGAAUUCAUCUCCGGGGGUAGAGCACUGUUUCGGCAAGGGGGUCAUCCCGACUUACCAACCCGAUGCAAACUGCGAAUACCGGAGAAUGUUAUCACGGGAGACACACGGCGGGUGCUAACGUCCGUCGUGAAGAGGGAAACAACCCAGACCGCCAGCUAAGGUCCCAAAGUCAUGGUUAAGUGGGAAACGAUGUGGGAAGGCCCAGACAGCCAGGAUGUUGGCUUAGAAGCAGCCAUCAUUUAAAGAAAGCGUAAUAGCUCACUGGUCGAGUCGGCCUGCGCGGAAGAUGUAACGGGGCUAAACCAUGCACCGAAGCUGCGGCAGCGACGCUNAUGCGUUGUUGGGUAGGGGAGCGUUCUGUAAGCCUGCGAAGGUGUGCUGUGAGGCAUGCUGGAGGUAUCAGAAGUGCGAAUGCUGACAUAAGUAACGAUAAAGCGGGUGAAAAGCCCGCUCGCCGGAAGACCAAGGGUUCCUGUCCAACGUUAAUCGGGGCAGGGUGAGUCGACCCCUAAGGCGAGGCCGAAAGGCGUAGUCGAUGGGAAACAGGUUAAUAUUCCUGUACUUGGUGUUACUGCGAAGGGGGGACGGAGAAGGCUAUGUUGGCCGGGCGACGGUUGUCCCGGUUUAAGCGUGUAGGCUGGUUUUCCAGGCAAAUCCGGAAAAUCAAGGCUGAGGCGUGAUGACGAGGCACUACGGUGCUGAAGCAACAAAUGCCCUGCUUCCAGGAAAAGCCUCUAAGCAUCAGGUAACAUCAAAUCGUACCCCAAACCGACACAGGUGGUCAGGUAGAGAAUACCAAGGCGCUUGAGAGAACUCGGGUGAAGGAACUAGGCAAAAUGGUGCCGUAACUUCGGGAGAAGGCACGCUGAUAUGUAGGUGAAGNUGGAGCUGAAAUCAGUCGAAGAUACCAGCUGGCUGCAACUGUUUAUUAAAAACACAGCACUGUGCAAACACGAAAGUGGACGUAUACGGUGUGACGCCUGCCCGGUGCCGGAAGGUUAAUUGAUGGGGUCAGCGCAAGCGAAGCUCUUGAUCGAAGCCCCGGUAAACGGCGGCCGUAACUAUAACGGUCCUAAGGUAGCGAAAUUCCUUGUCGGGUAAGUUCCGACCUGCACGAAUGGCGUAAUGAUGGCCAGGCUGUCUCCACCCGAGACUCAGUGAAAUUGAACUCGCUGUGAAGAUGCAGUGUACCCGCGGCAAGACGGAAAGACCCCGUGAACCUUUACUAUAGCUUGACACUGAACAUUGAGCCUUGAUGUGUAGGAUAGGUGGGAGGCUUUGAAGUGUGGACGCCAGUCUGCAUGGAGCCGACCUUGAAAUACCACCCUUUAAUGUUUGAUGUUCUAACGUGGACCCGUAAUCCGGGUUGCGGACAGUGUCUGGUGGGUAGUUUGACUGGGGCGGUCUCCUCCUAAAGAGUAACGGAGGAGCACGAAGGUUGGCUAAUCCUGGUCGGACAUCAGGAGGUUAGUGCAAUGGCAUAAGCCAGCUUGACUGCGAGCGUGACGGCGCGAGCAGGUGCGAAAGCAGGUCAUAGUGAUCCGGUGGUUCUGAAUGGAAGGGCCAUCGCUCAACGGAUAAAAGGUACUCCGGGGAUAACAGGCUGAUACCGCCCAAGAGUUCAUAUCGACGGCGGUGUUUGGCACCUCGAUGUCGGCUCAUCACAUCCUGGGGCUGAAGUAGGUCCCAAGGGUAUGGCUGUUCGCCAUUUAAAGUGGUACGCGAGCUGGGUUUAGAACGUCGUGAGACAGUUCGGUCCCUAUCUGCCGUGGGCGCUGGAGAACUGAGGGGGGCUGCUCCUAGUACGAGAGGACCGGAGUGGACGCAUCACUGGUGUUCGGGUUGUCAUGCCAAUGGCACUGCCCGGUAGCUAAAUGCGGAAGAGAUAAGUGCUGAAAGCAUCUAAGCACGAAACUUGCCCCGAGAUGAGUUCUCCCUGACUCCUUGAGAGUCCUGAAGGAACGUUGAAGACGACGACGUUGAUAGGCCGGGUGUGUAAGCGCAGCGAUGCGUUGAGCUAACCGGUACUAAUGAACCGUGAGGCUUAACCUU
RNAcentral lists this ribosomal RNA (2892 nucleotides) under Escherichia coli. RNAcentral describes it as "23S ribosomal RNA". It matches the Rfam family "Bacterial large subunit ribosomal RNA". The record is from RNAcentral. Lineage: Bacteria; Pseudomonadati; Pseudomonadota; Gammaproteobacteria; Enterobacterales; Enterobacteriaceae.